RNAcentral lists this ribosomal RNA (253 nucleotides) under uncultured bacterium. RNAcentral's name for it is "partial 16S ribosomal RNA". It matches the Rfam family "Bacterial small subunit ribosomal RNA", at positions 524 to 776 of the family's 1533-position model. The record is from RNAcentral.
UACGUAGGGACCAAGCGUUGUCCGGAAUCAUUGGGCGUAAAGAGCGCGUAGGCGGCUUGUUAAGUCUUGCGUGAAAUCUCGGGGCUCAACCCCGAGCGGUCGUGAGAAACUGGCAGGCUAGAGUGCGGGAGAGGAGAGUGGAAUUCCUGGUGUAGCGGUGAAAUGCGCAGAUAUCAGGAAGAACACCCGUGGCUAAGGCGGCUCUCUAGUACGGUACUGACGCUGAGACGCGAAAGCGUGGGGAGCGAACAGG